GGAGGUGGCUAGGGCACUGGUGGCUCUCCCGGACUUCAAAUCCGGUGUACGGCGUGAACAGCGUCGUAGGUGGGUUCGAUUCCCAUCCACUUCCGCCA
Molecule: transfer RNA, 98 nt
Filed under: bacterium
Lineage: Bacteria
Description: tRNA-Sec
Rfam family: Selenocysteine transfer RNA
Source: RNAcentral